UACGGGGGGAGCAAGCGUGGUUCGGAUUUACUGGGCGUAAAGGGCGCGUAGGCGGCCAGCACAAGUCAGUUGUGAAAUCUCCGAGCUUAACUCGGAAAGGUCAACUGAUACUGUGCGGCUAGAGUGCGGAAGGGGCAACUGGAAUUCUUGGUGUAGCGGUGAAAUGCGUAGAUAUCAAGAGGAACACCUGCGGCGAAGGCGGGUUGCUGGGCCGACACUGACGCUGAGGCGCGAAAGCCAGGGGAGCGAACGGG
RNAcentral lists this ribosomal RNA (254 nucleotides) under uncultured bacterium. Its description in RNAcentral is "partial 16S ribosomal RNA". It matches the Rfam family "Bacterial small subunit ribosomal RNA", at positions 524 to 776 of the family's 1533-position model. The record is from RNAcentral.